Long non-coding RNA from Helianthus annuus (common sunflower), 3949 nucleotides. RefSeq lists it as uncharacterized. The transcript is spliced from 7 exons. NCBI's taxonomy places the organism in Eukaryota, Viridiplantae, Streptophyta, Magnoliopsida, Asterales, Asteraceae. The record is from RefSeq and is a predicted model, not a curated record.
AUUAGUGAUCAGAUCUGUAGGGUUUGUAAAGAUAAUCUAGAUCUUUUUUAAAUUUGUAAACAAAUCGCAACUAUUUUCUCUUGUUUUUUCAGUCUUUUCCUUUGUUUUGAACUUGACACUCAAACUUAUUUGAUUUUGUAGUUUUGUGAAGGGGUUGUUUUAUUUAUAAACUAUCGUAAUUUUCGUGUUUUGUAUGGUGUUUUAUAAUACCGAACUCACAUAUAAGAACUUGUGAUCCUGUUACAAGAACACCUAAAAACCCAUUUCAAUUGUUUUGUACUUUGAGGCUUGUACUUUGCGGUUGAUUGGGCAUACGCAGGUUGUGAUCGUAGCUUGUAUUGCUUUCUUGAUGGAGGUUCUUUCUGUUAUUUUCGUGUUUGUUUUUUUCUAUAGUUCCCUGAAUAGGUUUGAUUUUAUGUUUUCCUUUUUUGGCACUCCCAUAUUGUUGAAAUUGUUUCACUUCUCAGUCAUUUCAAUGUUUUCAAAACUCCCAUACUAUUGUAGAUGUUUUCUCUUGUUUUUAUUGUUCUUGAAUUUGAAUGUUAAACUUGUUUGAUUUUAUAGUUUUGUGAAGUACAAACUGUUGUUCUUUUUACUUAGUUUUUAACAAGACUGAGCUCACUUCGAGAAAUAGCAACAUUGUUACCGGAGCACCUAAAAAACCCCAUUUUAACCUGUCAUUGUACUUUGAGGCUUGUACUUUGCGGUUGAUUGGUGACGAAGGUAGCUACUGUAACGUGAAUUGCUUUCUUGAUAAAGUUCUCUCUUUUGAUCUUUUUGAUGAUUUUUACUAUGUUACUAUCAAUUAUUUUUAAUUUUUUGGUAAUGAGAUUUUUUUAUAUAUUUUUAAUAGCUUUAUGGUUUGACAAUUUUAUAUUGUAUUUUACAAGACUGAACUCACUUCGAGAAAUAGGAAUUCCAUUACCAGAGCACCUAAAAACCCAAUUCAAAUUGUUUUUGUACUUUGAGGCUUGUACUUUGCGGUUGGUUGGGUGACGAAGGUUGCUAUUGUAACGUGAAUUGCUUUCUUGAUAAAGUUUUUUCUUAUGAUAUAUUUUUUUAUGAUUUUGACUAUGUUUUAUAUAACUUUUAUUUCUUGGCGCUGAGAUUUUUUUUAUAUAAUGUAAUAGCUUUUUGGUUCGAUAGUUUUAUAUCAGUCUUUUCCUAUGUUUUUAACUUGACUUCUAAACUUAUUUGAUUUUAUAGUAUUAUGAAAGGGUUGUUUAAGUUAUAAACUAUCGUAAUUUUCUUGUUUUAUACGGUGUUUACAAGACUGAACUCACAUGUAAGAGCUUGUGAUCCUGUUACAAGAACACCUAAAAACCCAUUCCAAUUGUUUUGUACUUUGAGGUUUGUACUUUGCAGUUGAUUGGGCAUACACAGGUUGUGUUUGUAGCUUGGAUUGCUUUCUUAAUGGAAGUUCUUUCUGUUAUUUUUAGGUUUGUUUGUUCUAUACUUUCCUGAAUUCCUUUGAUUUUACGUUUUCUUUUUUUUUUGGCACUCCUGUAUUGUUGAAAUUGUUUCACUUCUCAGUUAUUUCAAUGUUUUCAAAACUCCCAUAUUAUUGUAGAUGUCAUCUAUUGUUUUUGUUGUUUUUGAAUUGAAUGUUAAACUUGUUUGAUUUUAUAGUUUUGCGAAGUACAAACUGUUGUACUUUUGUUGUUGUUUUUACUUAGUUUUUAGCAAGUGGAGCUCACUUCGAGAAAUAACAACACUGUUACCGGAGCACCUAAAACCCCAUUUUAACCUGCCACUGUACUUUGAGGCUUGUACUUUGCGGUUGAUUGGGCGACGAAGGUUGCUACUCUAACGUGGAUUGCCUUCUUGAUAAAGUUCAUCCUGCUGAUAUUCUAUUUUUUGUCAAUUUUGACUAUGUUAUCAUCAUAAUUUUUAUUUUAUAUAGUUUAAUAGCUUUGUGGGUUAAAUUUUUUUUUUUGUGGUUUUUUACAAGACUGAGCUCACUUCGAGAAAUAGGAAUGGUGUUUCCAGAGCACCUAAGAACCCAAUUCGGCUUGUCUUUGUACUUUGAGGUUUGUACUUUGCAGUUGAUUGGGUGACGAAGGUUGCUUGUGUAACAUAAAAUUCUUUCUUGAUGAAGGUUCUUUCUUUUGAUAUUCUAUUUUUUUACGAUUUUGACUAUGUUAUUUAUAUAACUUUUAUUUCUUGGUGAUGUGAUUUUUUAUAUAACGUAAUAGCCUUGUGGUUUGAUAGUUUUAUAUGGUAUUUUACAAAAUUGAACUCAUAUUCAAGAGCUACGCAUGCCAUUACUAGAGUAUCUUAGAACCCAUCUCAACUUGUCUUUGUACUUUGAGGCAUGUACUUUGCGGUUGAAUGGGUGACAAAGGUUGCUACUGUGGUGUGAAUUUCUUUCUUGAUAAAGUUCUUUUUGUUGAUAUUCUAUUUUUUAUUGUUAUAUUCAUAACUUUUAUUUCUUAGUAAUGAGAUUUUUUUAAUAUAAUGCAUUAGCUCUUUUGCCUGACAGUUUUAUAUGCUAUUUUACAAGACUGAACUCACAUUCGAGAAAUUGUAAUCCCGUUACUAAAGCACCUAAAAGCCCAUUUCAGUUUGUCUUUGUACUUUGAGGCUUGUACUUUGCGGUUGACUGGGUGAUGAAGGUUGUUAUUGUAGCGUGGAUUGCUUUCUUGAUGAAGUUCUUUCUGUUAUAUUCUGUUUUUAAUGAAUGGUACUACGUUAUUUUCAUAAGUUUUAUUUCUUGGUAACGAGAUUCUUUCAUAUAGUUUAAUAGCUUUGUGGUUUGACAAUUUUAUAUGGUAUAUUAUAAGAUUGAACUCACAUUUGAGAAAUAGGAAUGCUGUUACUAGAGCUACCUAUAUGAAUAGCAAAUCAAGAUGGAAUGGAACGCUUCUUACUCAAAUUAAGAGCCCUCGUGGAGCUAACUGAAGCUGAAACAUAAUAUGCAGUAAAUGAUAUGAAGCAGUUACGGGAUAUAUGCUUCUGAAGCGGAACCAAGUCAUCGAAUGCCCUUCCAUAUGAUACAUCUGGUCAAACCUUAUGGCACUUGAGAAACCAUAAGGGGCCCCACCUAAGCUGUUGGCAGAUUUUCUAACGCCUUGAAGUUUAUCGUCGAAGAGGUCCCUAAACUCAUAUGAAAAACAAAAUGCAAUCAUCAGCCAAGCCAAGCCAAACUGUCCUCAACCCCCCUGGAGCUAACGGAAACUGAAACAGAUUAUGCAAUGAUGCUCUGACGCACAUAUUCGACAAACUUGUCUCGAAAUACAGUACUGGGGCAGUUACUGACUUACUGUCAUAUAGUUGUUAUAGAUGCUUUUGAAGCGGAAGAAUUUGCUGAGGUGGCAACGAAGCGACUGAAAGCCCUUCCAUAUGCACACCUGGUUGAAGUUUAUGGCAUUUGAGUAUCCCAUAAUGGGUCCCAGCUCAGCUGUUGGCAGAUUUUUUGACGUGUUGAAGUUUAUUGUCAAAGAGGGAAUAACUUCUCAUAUCAUGUUAUAACAAAGUUGUGACAUCCCGCCGGAAAAUCAGUUGAUUGGGCUUCAGAAGACAGCUUGAAGGUAGAUUGGGCUUGAAGAUUGUUGGGCUGCUGGAGUUAAAGAAUGUUGUUGGGCUGAGGUCGGGUUCCAGUCGCAUAUGGGGCUACGGAUGCGGAUUGAUAUAAAAGAAUAUUAUCUGAGUUCAGAUUUUAGAUUUUUGAUAUUUUUUUCCUCUCUCAAAAUUUCUUCAUUUCUCUCUUGAAAGUUAGGGUGUCUCUCAUUUUUGUUGCAGCUUCUUUCUAAUUCGUUCUAAAGAUUUGAACAUCGUUUUUUGUUCGUUUAUCAAUUAGUUCGAGUAUUAGUGUGUAUAGAUCAUUGUGUUGGUGAUCUAGUAGGUUAGUUGUAAGGUGUUUGUUGAGAGUUUUAUAUUUGAACAGAUCUGUUAUUGUAAUUCGUUUGAAUCUUGAUUUUUUUUAUUCAAGAUACCAUAAUUUUGACAG